Molecule: long non-coding RNA, 3602 nt
Filed under: Coffea arabica (coffee)
Lineage: Eukaryota; Viridiplantae; Streptophyta; Magnoliopsida; Gentianales; Rubiaceae
Description: long non-coding RNA (CARA_LNC000686)
Source: RNAcentral
AGGAAUUGGGAAAGGGAAAUUAACUGCAAUAACAACCGAAAAAGGCCCUGCCUUCGUCCCUGCUUCGGGGUCCCAAUUACAAAGCCAAAGCUACGAAUGAAUUGUCCAGCGGAAAAGUUGAAAGUCAGAAGAGGAAAGCGACGUCUAGCACCUGGGAAAGAGAAAACUAAAGCUCCUGUUUUUGAUUCAAUGUCAAUCUAGCUAUCUAAUUUGCUGCCGAAGAGAAAACCAAAAAGAAACGACGGAAAGCGUAAGAAGAGAAAAAAGCGUCCGACCGCUGACAGACGUAGGAAAAGAAAACUAAGCCUAAAAAAAUAGAUUCCCCCAAUCUUGCUUUGUCCUUUUCUUUUUAUAGCCGCCGUCCAAGAAGAGUCAAAAAAAGAAACGUCUGGUGCAAAGCCUAGUGUUGUCUCCAGAGUUCUGAUCCCACGCUCCGGGUUCACGUGGACCACGGUCCGUCUUUCGGUUUCGUCCACCUUCCAAGGCGUGGCCACGCCCUGGAACGGCAAGUCUUCUGGAAAUUCACCCCGCGAGAUCAUUUUUCAUGCCUACCACCUACAAUUCACACAAAUAUCGAAUAUGAGUGAAAUUCCAAUUCUUAGUACCGUGAAUAGCCAAAAUUAGGACAAGAUAGUAGUGCAAAAUACGCCAAAUAACCGUUCUAUCAGGAACCAAGAAAGAAUCAAACUAAAACUCUGCUAAAAGCUAAGUUAAAAACUCUUGAUAAGAGUUCUCUGGACGUCUGUUUCUUUUUUAAAGCCAAAGAUGACUAAUGCUAUCUAGUCCCGUGGUCCCCGCAGAAAUUGAGAGUCCAACUCUAGAAGAAAAGCUAGCCGACUAAGAGAAAAAAGAUACAAAGAGGUGGGGCCUGCCGAAUUGCUUAUUGUGUUCUAUUGAUAGUAGGACUUCUCGUAUGAGUUCUCCUCAUCAGCACAAAGGUAGGAAAUUAGUUUUGUUCUCUCCUUGUGGGCCAGGUCGAUGGAGAUUUUUUUGAAGUCUCCAACUUAUGGAAUAAGUCUCUUCUUUUUGUAGUUUUCUGCUCCAUUCCCUGAAAUUAAAUCCAAAUACUAAAUAUAAGUAAAUAUUAACAAUUAAAACAAUAUUUGACAGGAAUAAAAGGGAAAAUUAGUAAUAAAAUUGCUAACAAAUAAUACCCUAUCAAUUCCCCCCACACCUGAAUUGCCCUCAAGCAUAGGAACAACAAUUGAACACCAAAAAUUCGACAAUAGCUAUUGCUCCAACUACCAUAUUGCCAAGAUACCAUGAAAACACAUAUCAAGCAUCAAUUGUCAAAAUCCAAGAGACAUCUCCUCGGUUAGUUUCCAAACCGCAGACUCUUCUAAUUUAUGGCUAACUAUUCUAAGAAAAAAAAAAUGGUCGAUCAACAUUUAUCAGCAAAUGGUCCAACUAUUAACCAAAUUCUCAACAUAAAACCCAUAGAUCAGACGGCUAACUUUAUACACACACUUACACAACCUUCACCUUUUUUAUCACGUUUUUCUAUUUUUCUCUUUUUUUUUUCUUUUUUUUCAGAAUAGCAAAAGACUUAAUCUCUAGCCAUUAGAGCCUUUUGACGCGAACUCCAACAUUUGCCAGAUGAAGGAGCCCGGUUACUCAGUUUCGAUCGCUAUGCGACCACACACUCAUAGCAAUUAUUACCUUUUGACGCGAGAAUCGACACUUUAGGUGAAGAUCCCCGGUUACUCAGUAGUAAUAACUAGCGGAGUACAGUUAACUCUUAUUUACAACCAUAUAGCACAAUAACUAAAAAUAACACAAAAAUAACAGCAGCCAGCCUCAAAUUUCCAAACAUGGAGAACUAAAAUUAAUAACUGGACCAAUUCACAUGAAAAAUGCCAAUAAUCAUUCCCUAUACCUAGAAAAGUUAACCAAAAAUUGGAAAAGUUAAGCAAUUAUUGAUAUUCACCAAAGAGAUGUUCCUGAACUUAACCACAUCAACUUGAUACCCUUUUAUUACUAAAACUUGGCAAUGGCAGAAUUAGAGACAACAAUCCAGCAUCAAAACUUGGUAUUCAUAUAAAAACUGAUCACUAGAAAGAAAAAGAAAAGAAAAUAAAUGAAAGAUAGGCAAAAACUAACUAAAAAUAAAGGAAAAGCCCCUAGAAACUAAAAACAAAAAUACUAGCACCACAACGAUCCCCCCCACACCUAAUUCACACAUUGCCCUCAAUGUGAUAAUGUAAAAGCAGAAGGAAGGAGAGGGGCAACGGUACUUCCCUGAAGUCAUCAAAAUAGGGGCGGUUCAGGUGGAAAUUGUGGAUCAACUCGCAUCUAGAGUUGGUGCCAUUCGUGGUUUCACCAUGGACUCUAGAUAUCACUCUAAGCAACAAUAGACUACAAUUGCCAACAAAUAAUGGAAGCUGGAAAUUCAAAGCAAUAACAAUUUUAAAACCAACCCAACGAACAAAAUGCACAAUUUAAUCACCCAGAGGACAUACAAAUACCCCAACACUUAUAGCAAAUGCAAUUGAUAAGCACUUGUGGUCCCAAUUCAGUCAGAUGUAGAAACAAAGCAGUCCGAAUGUGCAACAACUGCUCCAAAGACUUGAGUAAUUAAAAUUGAUGGGCAGAUUACUCCAAGCAAGUCAAUUAAUCCAAGCAAGUCAAUUAGAUGCAACAAAUGAGCAAUAGGCAACGGAAGUGUCACAGUAGCUUCCCAAAUCAACAAACAACCACAGAAAGUAGCUGCCCACACUAUCAGAACACGGCUCCCAACAAUGCAACAAAAUAAUCAAUAAUCACAGGAAGCCCCACUAUUGUAAGAACCAGCAAAAACAAUUCAAUAAGCAAUGAUGUCCGCAAAUGCAGACAAAUACCAAACCUUUCCACACAAAUUCUCAGUAAAUGCCUCCAAAGGUGUAGUUGGCCGCAAAACGCGCACCCUAAAUUGUGGCAAACGCCCCCAACAAGUCAAUUAAAAGCAACUAAGAGCAAUAACAGAAGUAACCCGACCAAAGGCAUAGCAAUGGUCUCAAGACAGAAAGCAACAAAAUAGAGCUCAAGUGCUACCAUAGACGACCUCAACAAAGUAAUGGAUUCAAGCAAUUUGAAUGAGGAGAAUACGGUCAGAGGUCCCCUCAAAUACCAAUUCAAAUAGGCUAACCCAACCCACUAAGAAAUCCAAACAACACUGAACAACACCCCAAUAUCAGUCAAACCUCAUCAAUAGCAAGUAAUCGAAAUAACGGGUUCCACCAAAUAAAUGAAAAACCUGGCACCAGGGUGGGCAAGUGCGGUGGGUGAGAGGGAGCUUGGAGCUUGGAGCUUGGAGUGGUGGCGCGAGUUGGCGGUGCUCGGGGAGUUGAAGCUGAAGUCGCGCGUGAGGGAAAGGCCGCCGUGGCUCGCGGCGUGCGGUGGUGCGAGGUGAGCUAAGCAGCAGCGGUGGACAGCGCCUGAUAGCUCGCGACGGAGGGGUCCAAGGCGGCAGAGUGCGAAGGAGAGCUGGUGGCGAGGAAAGAGGGAGAUAGGACGGGCGGCGGUGAUGGAGGAAGGCGUCGGCCGAAGAAGAAAGGAAAAGGAGAAAAGGGGAAGCGGGGAAGAAGAGGGAGAAAAGGGAAAGAAAGAAAGAAAAGAAAGAAGGA